This 261-nucleotide long non-coding RNA is filed under the name Rosa chinensis. RNAcentral describes it as "sRNA RchiOBHm_Chr1g0319591". The record is from RNAcentral. Lineage: Eukaryota; Viridiplantae; Streptophyta; Magnoliopsida; Rosales; Rosaceae.
CCUAGACGCGUAGAUUCCUAGGGAUCCCACGGUGUCGAUAACCGUGAACCUCCGGAGGGGGCCGUGCUCCUAUGUUUGUCGAGGAAAGAUAAGUAUAGACAGUGAACCAGUCAUAGGAGACUCAGGGCCAGGAAAUGGACACUUUCGCUACUUGUAGUCAGAAGUACUACAGAGUAGUUGGCCGGUUCUCGAAUUCAGGACGAACCAGGUCGGUCACAGAUUUGUUUUAUAUUAGCCGGCAGGUAAGUAUCUCGGAGCUCC